This 218-nucleotide unclassified non-coding RNA is filed under the name uncultured fungus. RNAcentral's name for it is "sequence contains ITS2". The record is from RNAcentral. Lineage: Eukaryota; Fungi.
AAUUCUCAACUCCCCUCGGAUUCCAUCUGUAGGGUGAGCUCGGACUUGGAGGUUUCUGCUGGCGUUCGCCGGCUCCUCUUGAAAUCAUUAGCUUUGAGUUGAUCUCGAUGGCUUGACCGGUGUGAUAAACAUCUACGCCGAUUUGUGCCGCCCUGAGCGAUGAAUGUCGGAGACGCUCUGGCUUAUAACUGUCUUCACCAGAGGACGAUGCACUGAAC